RNAcentral lists this ribosomal RNA (345 nucleotides) under uncultured bacterium. RNAcentral describes it as "bacterial SSU rRNA". It matches the Rfam family "Bacterial small subunit ribosomal RNA", at positions 173 to 507 of the family's 1533-position model. The record is from RNAcentral.
UAAUUCUUCCUCNACAUGAGGGAAGCUGAAAGUCGGUUUCGGCUGACACUUACAGAUGGGCCCGCGGCGCAUUAGCUAGUUGGUGAGGUAACGGCUCACCAAGGCGACGAUGCGUAGCCGACCUGAGAGGGUGAUCGGCCACACUGGGACUGAGACACGGCCCAGACUCCUACGGGAGGCAGCAGUAGGGAAUCUUCCGCAAUGGACGAAAGUCUGACGGAGCAACGCCGCGUGAGUGAUGAAGGUUUUCGGAUCGUAAAACUCUGUUGUUAGGGAAGAACAAGUAUCGGAGUAACUGCCGGUACCUUGACGGUACCUAACCAGAAAGCCACGGCUAACUACGUG